Molecule: non-coding RNA, 584 nt
Organism: Paramuricea clavata
Lineage: Eukaryota; Metazoa; Cnidaria; Anthozoa; Malacalcyonacea; Plexauridae
Source: the annotation of a GenBank genome assembly
ACACUCCUACGCGUGCUUUAAAUUCAUUAAUAAUUCAUGAGCAAUUCAGCCAAUGAUAAUCACCUAUUUGAUCACAAGAUGCCAUUUGGAUAAUCCGGUGAAACUUGAUGAAAGUCACUAGUGUUUUCAUCAAAUAUCUUAAUUACGCAUGCAAAAUUACUUGAAUAGAAUUCCUAAUUUCGUUAUGCUUGGUUAAGAAUUCCAUUCAAAUCAGCACACGAAAACAUUCUGUAAUACGUCUCGAUCAUAGAUAUCUUAUAUACACUAGAUAGUGCAUCUAAUUAUUCUGAAGUUCAAAAAUUGAAGCCGUGAUUGCAGUCUCAGGUCGUUCCCAUGAAAUUAGAAGAUUCGUAUGUUUUCUAUUUCUUAAACAGGGAACUUAAACAUUAAGUUAACCCUAUUCCAAAUUCGUUUUUAAAAUAUUCAAAUGACGAAAAUUAUUGUUGUUUUUAAGCGUUUAUUAGCAAGUGGGAACGACCAACAUGGCCGCCAUCUAUUCAAAUGGGGGUAACCGCUGGAAUAUUGUUGGCUUCAAUUUUACUAAAAGAGAUGCGCUAUCUAGUGUAUAUAAGAUAUCUAUGGUC